This 253-nucleotide ribosomal RNA is filed under the name uncultured bacterium. RNAcentral's name for it is "partial 16S ribosomal RNA". It matches the Rfam family "Bacterial small subunit ribosomal RNA", at positions 524 to 776 of the family's 1533-position model. The record is from RNAcentral.
UACGUAGGGCGCAAGCGUUGUCCGGAAUUAUUGGGCGUAAAGAGCUCGUAGGCGGUUUGUCGCGUCUGCUGUGAAAACCUAAGGCUCAACCUUGGGCUUGCAGUGGGUACGGGCAGACUAGAGUGCGGUAGGGGUGACUGGAAUUCCUGGUGUAGCGGUGGAAUGCGCAGAUAUCAGGAGGAACACCGGUGGCGAAGGCGGGUCUCUGGGCAGUAACUGACGCUGAGGAGCGAAAGCGUGGGGAGCAAACAGG